This is a long non-coding RNA of Phasianus colchicus (ring-necked pheasant), 2056 nucleotides long. The record is from Ensembl. Lineage: Eukaryota; Metazoa; Chordata; Aves; Galliformes; Phasianidae.
GCACGGGAGCGGCCGUGGGGUCGGCGUGCCGCCGGAUCCGUUCGGCGGGCAGCGUCCGUGAGCGGCACGAGAGCUGAAGCGCCUGCCGGGCGCUUGCGGGACGGCGCUCGGGAAGCGGCGCUCAGAGAAAGGCGCCUUUCCGCCCGCCGCCGUUCGUCCCGAGGCUGCAAAGAACGGGACGCGAGCGCGUACCGACAGCCGCGCGCCGCGUCCACCCGCAGCUUCUUGAAGGCCGUCCGCAGGCUCCGCUCGGCGUCGGCGUCGGCGUCGGCCUCGUCCCGCUCCUCCUCGCCGCGCCGCCGCUCCUCCUCCGCCGCCGGCUCCGCGGGCGGACGCUCGGCGCGGUGCCACGCGCUGCCGGCCGCGACGCGGCGAGCGGGGACGACCGUUAGCGGCCUUUCCGUCCCCGCACGGCCGGCCCCGCACGUCCCCGAGUCCCGCGGAGCCCCGCCGGCCGCGCCGCCCGAGGCGCGGGGAGGAGCCGCCCGCAGCCAAUGGCCGCCGCGCACGGCGGGAAGCGGGGCGAGCGCCGCGCUGGAGGAGCGCGCAUGCGCGGCGCCGGGCCGGGGCCGCUUCCGGCUGAGGGCCCGCAUCCGGGCGGCGCCGGGCCGCGGAGAGGCGAAGCGGCGAAGCGGCGAAGAGGCGGAGAGCGGUGAGCGCGGAGAGCCGGAGAGCCGUGAGCGUCCGUUGGGCUCCGUCCGCGUCGGCGUCGGCGGGCGCUGCGGGUUCGGUGCGGGCGCGCGGCGGUCCGCGAGGGGUCGGGCGGGACGGCGCUGCGCCUCGAGGCGCGGCCUGGUGCCGGCGGCGCCGCUCCGUCAGGCGAACCUCGCGGCGCGCUUUGGUGGAUGUGCUGCGGUUGGAGAGCUGCUCCUGCCGCCGUUUUCUUUCCGACGCGAAGGAGGGGCUCCGGUCGGGUAUCGGCGAAGGGUUCUUCGCUGCGGGGCGGCGGGCGUGGGACAGACCGCCCGGGGCGGCGGUCGCAGCACUGAGGUGUGCGAGCCGGAGAGGCGUCGGGACGAGGAUCUCGGACGGAGGAUGAGGAAGACAGAACUUUAGCUAGGAAGAUUUCUGGAAGCCUUGGGACGUGUUAACAACGAGCUUUGCAAACACUGCCAAACUUCAGAACAAAGCCUGGAAGGUGUUUGAACGCCAAAUUGCAGUGAAAGCGGCAUGGAGGAGUAGAAUGGCCACAGCAGAAACUGAAAGAUCGCACAGCAGUCAUUUGAUUUACAGAGCUUUUGUUACGGUCUUCAGAGACUGUAGUGCAUAUUCUUUUUUAUUUACUUAUUAAUUUGGGACUAAGGUUAGCAAGCAAGUGUGGAUGUGCUGGAUGGAGCUCGAGCUGGAUGAGGCAGUGGCUGGGUGAUGGUGGCACUCAGAGCUGCAGUCAGCGGCUCAGUGUCCAAGCAGAGCACAGGGAGGAGUGGCGUUCCUCAGCGAUGGGAGCUGGCCCUGGUGGUGGGACCGGUGCCACUGAAUGUCUUUAUAGGCGAUGUGGACAGUGGGAUUGUGCGCACCCUCAUCAGGUUUGCCGGUGUUACCAAGCUGAGUGGUGUAGCUGGCACGCUAGAGGGAAGGGAUGCUAUCCAGAGGGAUCUGGAGAGACUUAGAGGUGGGCCCAUGGCAUCCUCAGGAAGUUCACCGAGGCCGAGAGCAAGGUCGUGCAUUUGGGUCGGGGCAAUCUCAAACACAGAUGCGGCUUAGGCAGAGGAUGGCUUGAGAGCGGCCCCGUGGAGAAGGAUUUGUUAGCGUGGCCUGAGGAGAGACUGAGCGUGAGCUGGCAAGGUGUGCUUGCUGCCCAGAAGGCCCACUGAGGCCUGGGUUGCAUCAAGAGAAGUGUGGCUACCAGGUUGAGGCGAUUGUGCCCCCCUUCUCUCAUGAGACCCCGCUUGGAGUACUGUCUGGUUCUGGAGCCCUCAGCACAAGGAGGACGUGGAGCUGUUGGAGCAGGUCCAGAGGGAGGCCAUGAAGAUGAUCAGAGGGCUGGAGCACCUCCCCUACAAGGACAGGGUGAGGGAGCUGGGGCAAUUCAGCUUGGGUAAAAGAAGGCCCUGAG